This 468-nucleotide ribosomal RNA is filed under the name uncultured bacterium. RNAcentral's name for it is "partial 16S ribosomal RNA". It matches the Rfam family "Bacterial small subunit ribosomal RNA", at positions 28 to 507 of the family's 1533-position model. The record is from RNAcentral.
GACGAACGCUGGCGGCGUGCUUAACACAUGCAAGUCGAACGGAAAGGCCCUGCUCUUGUGGGGUGCUCGAGUGGCGAACGGGUGAGUAACACGCGAGUAACCUGCCCUUGACUUUGGGAUAACUUCAGGAAACUGGGGCUAAUACCGGAUAGGAGCUCCUGCUGCAUGGUGGGGGUUGGAGAGUGUCGGCGGUUGGGGCUGGACUCGCGGCUUACCAGCUUGUUGGUGGGGUAGUGGCUUACCAAGGCUUUGACGGGUAGCCGGCCUGAGAGGGUGGCCGGCGACAUUGGGACUGAGGGACGGCCCAGACUCCUACGGGAGGCAGCGGUGGGAAGUAUUACACAGUAGGCGGGAGCCUGAUACAGCAACGCCGCGUGCGGAAUGCCGGCCUUCGGGUUGUAAACCGCUGUCGACGGUGACAAAGCGUGAGUGACGGUAAUGGGUAAAGAAGCACCGGCUAACUACGUG